This is a long non-coding RNA of Oncorhynchus tshawytscha (Chinook salmon), 486 nucleotides long. NCBI's taxonomy places the organism in Eukaryota, Metazoa, Chordata, Actinopteri, Salmoniformes, Salmonidae. The record is from Ensembl.
GAGAGAGAGGGAGAGAGAUGGAGAGAGAGAGACAGAGAGAGAUGGAGAGGGAGAGAGAGAAAGAAAGAUAGAGAGAGACAAGAAAAGAGUCAGAGUGGUAGCAUUCAUAAAAACUAUAUUUUAUCCAGGUCUAUGGAAUGGUAGGAGAACCAGGUCUAUGGGAUGGUAGGUGGUCCAGGUCUAUGGGAUGGUAGGUGGUCCAGGUCUAUGGGAUGGUAGAGAAUUAAUAUAGAACAUUAUCACAGUUGAAAAUGUUCCAAAAUCCUGAUUUUGGAAGACAUCCCAUAAUUCCAUGGCAGCUCUCUGGACAUAUCAUUUAGUUACAGAGCAGUAGAGUAUCACACCAAGGUCCUGGACUUAUCAUUUAGUUACAGAGCAGUAGAGUAUCACACCAAGAUCCCUGGACAUAUCAUUUAGUUACAGAGCAGUAGAGUAUCACACCAAGGUCCCUGGACAUAUCAUUUAGUUACAGAGCAGUAGAGUUUC